GGAAGGGAUACGUUCCCGGUGGGACGGCCGGACUUCAAAUCCGGUUGAGGUUGCGUGGCAAUCUUGCGUGGGUUCGACUCCCAUUCUCUUCCGCCA
Molecule: transfer RNA, 96 nt
Filed under: Pusillimonas sp. TS35
Lineage: Bacteria; Pseudomonadati; Pseudomonadota; Betaproteobacteria; Burkholderiales; Alcaligenaceae
Description: tRNA-Sec
Rfam family: Selenocysteine transfer RNA
Source: RNAcentral